Molecule: non-coding RNA, 75 nt
Organism: Heligmosomoides polygyrus
Lineage: Eukaryota; Metazoa; Nematoda; Chromadorea; Rhabditida; Heligmosomidae
Source: Rfam
ACGCCGGUGGUGUAAUGGCGUAGGGCAUUCCCGCCCGGUCAGAGGGAGGUGCGGGUUCGAGUCCCGCCUGGCGCU